This 253-nucleotide ribosomal RNA is filed under the name uncultured bacterium. Its description in RNAcentral is "partial 16S ribosomal RNA". It matches the Rfam family "Bacterial small subunit ribosomal RNA", at positions 524 to 776 of the family's 1533-position model. The record is from RNAcentral.
UACGUAGGGUGCAAGCGUUGUUCGGAUUUAUUGGGCGUAAAGGGUCCGCAGGCGGUUUGAUAAGUCAGGUGUGAAAUCCAACAGCUUAACUGUUGACACGCAUUUGAUACUGUCAGACUAGAGUAUGAGAGGGGUAAGAGGAAUUUCCAGUGUAGGGGUGAAAUCCGUAGAUAUUGGAAAGAACACCGGCCGCGAAGGCGUUUUACUGGCUCAUUACUGACGUUCAGGGACGAAAGCUAGGGGAGCAAACGGG